This 1446-nucleotide ribosomal RNA is filed under the name uncultured organism. RNAcentral describes it as "SSU rRNA". It matches the Rfam family "Bacterial small subunit ribosomal RNA". The record is from RNAcentral.
CUGGAUGAACGCUAGCUACAGGCUUAACACAUGCAAGUCGAGGGGCAGCAUUUCAGUUUGCUUGCAAACUGGAGAUGGCGACCGGCGCACGGGUGAGUAACACGUAUCCAACCUGCCGAUAACUCGGGGAUAGCCUUUCGAAAGAAAGAUUAAUACCCGAUGGUAUAAUCAGACCGCAUGGUCUUGUUAUUAAAGAAUUUCGGUUAUCGAUGGGGAUGCGUUCCAUUAGGCAGUUGGUGAGGUAACGGCUCACCAAACCUUCGAUGGAUAGGGGUUCUGAGAGGAAGGUCCCCCACAUUGGAACUGAGACACGGUCCAAACUCCUACGGGAGGCAGCAGUGAGGAAUAUUGGUCAAUGGGCGCAGGCCUGAACCAGCCAAGUAGCGUGAAGGAUGACUGCCCUAUGGGUUGUAAACUUCUUUUAUAUGGGAAUAAAGUUUUCCACGUGUGGAAUUUUGUAUGUACCAUAUGAAUAAGGAUCGGCUAACUCCGUGCCAGCAGCCGCGGUAAUACGGAGGAUCCGAGCGUUAUCCGGAUUUAUUGGGUUUAAAGGGAGCGUAGGUGGACAGUUAAGUCAGUUGUGAAAGUUUGCGGCUCAACCGUAAAAUUGCAGUUGAUACUGGCUGUCUUGAGUACAGUAGAGGUGGGCGGAAUUCGUGGUGUAGCGGUGAAAUGCUUAGAUAUCACGAAGAACUCCGAUUGCGAAGGCAGCUCACUGGACUGCAACUGACACUGACGCUCGAAAGUGUGGGUAUCAAACAGGAUUAGAUACCCUGGUAGUCCACACAGUAAACGAUGAAUACUCGCUGUUUGCGAUAUACAGUAAGCGGCCAAGCGAAAGCAUUAAGUAUUCCACCUGGGGAGUACGCCGGCAACGGUGAAACUCAAAGGAAUUGACGGGGGCCCGCACAAGCGGAGGAACAUGUGGUUUAAUUCGAUGAUACGCGAGGAACCUUACCCGGGCUUAAAUUGCAUUUGAAUAUAUUGGAAACAGUAUAGCCGUAAGGCAAAUGUGAAGGUGCUGCAUGGUUGUCGUCAGCUCGUGCCGUGAGGUGUCGGCUUAAGUGCCAUAACGAGCGCAACCCUUAUCUUUAGUUACUAACAGGUCAUGCUGAGGACUCUAGAGAGACUGCCGUCGUAAGAUGUGAGGAAGGUGGGGAUGACGUCAAAUCAGCACGGCCCUUACGUCCGGGGCUACACACGUGUUACAAUGGGGGGUACAGAAGGCAGCUACCUGGUGACAGGAUGCUAAUCCCAAAAGCCUCUCUCAGUUCGGAUCGAAGUCUGCAACCCGACUUCGUGAAGCUGGAUUCGCUAGUAAUCGCGCAUCAGCCAUGGCGCGGUGAAUACGUUCCCGGGCCUUGUACACACCGCCCGUCAAGCCAUGAAAGCCGGGGGUACCUGAAGUACGUAACCGCAAGGAGCGUCCUAGGGUAAAACUGGUAA